CUUGGUCAUUUAGAGGAAGUAAAAGUCGUAACAAGGUUUCCGUAGGUGAACCUGCGGAAGGAUCAAUAAUGGAGAGUGGCGUGUUGCUGAGCCGAAGGCGAGGCAGGUGGAGCGCAAGCUCCACGGAGCAGACGCCCGCGAGGGUGGCUGUGGGCAGGAGAGAAAGGAGAAAAGUCUGACUAAGAAUCAAAAAGGAAAACUUGCAACAAUGGAUCUCUUGGCUCCUGCAACGAUGAAGAACGCAGUGAAGUGCGAAACGUGAUGCGAAUUGCAGCGCCUGUGAGUCAUCGAGUCUUUGAACGCACCUGGCACUGAAGGCGACUCUGGUACACCUGUUUGAGCGAGGAGAAGGAAGAGGUGGUGAGAAAGCGCUUAGUUUUCUGGCUGAAAGGGAUGGUGGGCGUGGCAGCCCGUGAGUCGUGAGGCAAGUCACUGCACACAGCACAGGCAGCCACACAAACCCACUCAACAACACACAUUCUCAAAUCAGGCGAGAGGACCCGCUGGACUUAAGCAUAUCAAUAAGCGGAGGA
RNAcentral lists this ribosomal RNA (533 nucleotides) under uncultured Ascomycota. RNAcentral's name for it is "eukaryotic LSU rRNA". The stretch from base 198 to 346 matches the Rfam family "5.8S ribosomal RNA". The record is from RNAcentral. Lineage: Eukaryota; Fungi; Ascomycota.